Molecule: ribosomal RNA, 274 nt
Filed under: uncultured bacterium
Lineage: Bacteria
Description: partial 16S ribosomal RNA
Rfam family: Bacterial small subunit ribosomal RNA
Source: RNAcentral
UACGGAGGGUGCAAGCGUUAAUCGGAUUUAUUGGGCGUAAAGGGCGUGUAGGCGGAUUGGAAAGUUGACUGUGAAAUUUUUCGGGCUCAACCCGGAACCUGCAUUCAAAACUUCCAACCUUGAGGAUAGACGGAGAAAACGGAAUUCCACAUGUAGCGGUGAAAUGCGUAGAUAUGGGAAGGAACACCAGUGGCGAAGGCGGCACUCUGGACCAAUACUGACACUGAGGUGCGAAAGCGUGGGGAGCAAACAGGAUUAGAUACCCGCGUAGUCC